UUUCCGGUUGAUCCUGCCGGACCCGACUGCUAUUUGGGUGAGAAUAAGCCAUGCGAGUCGAAUGGGAUACCUAAAUUUCCCAUGGCGAACUGCUCAGUAACACAUGAUCAACUUACCCUAUAGAGAAAUAUAACCUCGGGAAACUGAGGAUAAUAUUUCAUAGUUGAAUAGGCUUGGAAAAGUUUUUCAAUAAAAGGGAUAAAAAAAAUGGUUCCUAUCUGCUAUAGGAUAGGAUCGUGGACGAUUAUGGUUGUUGGUGAGGUAACGGCUCACCAAGCCGAUAAUCGAUAGGGGCCGUGAGAGCGGGAGCCCCGAGAUGGGUACUGAGACAACGACCCAGGCCUUACGAGGCGCAGCAGGCGCGGAACCUCCGCAAUACACGAAAGUGUGACGGGGUUACCCAAAGUGUUCAAUUUUGAACUGUGGUAGGUGAGUAAUGUCCCCUACUAGAAAGGAGAGGGCAAGGCUGGUGCCAGCCACCGCGGUAAAACCAGCUCUUCAAGUGGUCGGGAUAAUUAUUGGGCUUAAAGUGUCCGUAGCCGGUUUAGUAAGUUCCUGGUAAAAUCGGGUAGCUUAACUAUCUGUAUGCUAGGAAUACUGCUAUACUAGAGGGCGGGAGAAGUCUGAGGUACUACAGGGGUAGGGGUGAAAUCUUAUAAUCCUUGUAGGACCACCAGUGGCGAAGGCGUCAGACUGGAACGCGCCUGACGGUGAGGGACGAAAGCCAGGGGAGCGAACCGGAUUAGAUACCCGGGUAGUCCUGGCCGUAAACGAUGCAUACUAGGUGAUGGUACGGCCAUGAGCCGUAUCAGUGCCGUAGGGAAACCGUUAAGUGUGCCGCCUGGGAAGUACGGUCGCAAGGCUAAAACUUAAAGGAAUUGGCGGGGGAGCACCACAAGGGGUGAAGCCUGCGGUUCAAUUGGAUUCAACGCCGGGAA
Molecule: ribosomal RNA, 938 nt
Filed under: uncultured archaeon
Lineage: Archaea
Description: bacterial SSU rRNA
Rfam family: Archaeal small subunit ribosomal RNA
Source: RNAcentral